This 433-nucleotide ribosomal RNA is filed under the name uncultured bacterium. Its description in RNAcentral is "partial 16S ribosomal RNA". It matches the Rfam family "Bacterial small subunit ribosomal RNA", at positions 29 to 507 of the family's 1533-position model. The record is from RNAcentral.
AACGAACGCUGGCGGCAUGCCUAACACAUGCAAGUCGAACGAGACCUUCGGGUCUAGUGGCGCACGGGUGCGUAACGCGUGGGAACCUGCCCUUAGGUUCGGAAUAACUCAGAGAAAUUUGAGCUAAUACCGGAUGAUGUCUUCGGACCAAAGAUUUAUCGCCUUUAGAUGGGCCCGCGUUGGAUUAGCUAGUUGGUGGGGUAAAGGCCUACCAAGGCGACGAUCCAUAGCUGGUCUGAGAGGAUGAUCAGCCACACUGGGACUGAGACACGGCCCAGACUCCUACGGGAGGCAGCAGUGGGGAAUAUUGGACAAUGGGCGAAAGCCUGAUCCAGCAGUGCCGCGUGAGUGAUGAAGGCCUUAGGGUUGUAAAGCUCUUUUACCCGAGAUGAUAAUGACAGUAUCGGGAGAAUAAGCUCCGGCUAACUCCGUG